UGACCCUACGGGGCGCAGCAGUGGGGAACAUUGCACAAUGGGGGAAACCCUGAUGCAGCGACGCCGCGUGAGUGAAGAAGUAUUUCGGUAUGUAAAGCUCUAUCAGCAGGGAAGAAAAAAGACGGUACCUGACUAAGAAGCCCCGGCUAACUACGUGCCAGCAGCCGCGGUAAUACGUAGGGGGCAAGCGUUAUCCGGAUUUACUGGGCGUAAAGGGAGCGUAGACGGCGCGGCAAGUCUGAAGUGAAAGUCAGGGGCUUAACCCCGGAACUGCUUUGGAAA
RNAcentral lists this ribosomal RNA (282 nucleotides) under uncultured bacterium. RNAcentral's name for it is "partial 16S ribosomal RNA". It matches the Rfam family "Bacterial small subunit ribosomal RNA", at positions 334 to 632 of the family's 1533-position model. The record is from RNAcentral.